RNAcentral lists this unclassified non-coding RNA (253 nucleotides) under uncultured Oligosphaeria bacterium. Its description in RNAcentral is "contains 16S-23S intergenic spacer region". It matches the Rfam family "Bacterial small subunit ribosomal RNA", at positions 524 to 776 of the family's 1533-position model. Lineage: Bacteria; Pseudomonadati; Lentisphaerota; Oligosphaeria. The record is from RNAcentral.
UACGUAGGUGGCAAGCGUUAUUCGGAUUUAUUGGGCGUAAAGGGUUCGUAGGGGGUCUGUUAAGUUUGAUGUGAAAGCCUGGGGCUCAACCCCGGAACUGCAUUGGAUACUGACGGACUAGAGGACUGGAGAGGAAAGUGGAAUUCCCGGUGUAGCGGUGGAAUGCGUAGAUAUCGGGAGGAACACCAAUAGCGAAGGCAGCUUUCUGGACAGUUUCUGACCCUGAGGAACGAAAGCCGGGGGAGCAAACAGG